RNAcentral lists this ribosomal RNA (372 nucleotides) under uncultured eukaryote. RNAcentral describes it as "partial 18S ribosomal RNA". It matches the Rfam family "Eukaryotic small subunit ribosomal RNA", at positions 592 to 976 of the family's 1831-position model. The record is from RNAcentral.
CAAUAGCGUAUAUUAAAGUUGUUGCAGUUAAAAAGCUCGUAGUUGGACUUGUGGCGGUUCCUGUGGUCCGAUUUCGGUACUUUCGGGGACUGCCAUCCUUGGGUGGAUCCUGUGUGGCAUUAGGUUGUCGUGCAGGGGAUGCCCAUCGUUUACUGUGAAAAAAUUAGGGUGUUCAAAGCAGGCUUAUGCCGUUGAAUAUAUUAGCAUGGAAUAAUGAGAUAGGACCUUGGUACUAUUUUGUUGGUUUGCGCACCGAGGUAAUGAUUAAUAGGGACAGUUGUGGGUAUUCGUAUUCCAUUGUCAGAGGUGAAAUUCUUGGAUUUCUGGAAGACGAACUAAUGCGAAAGCAUUUACCAAGGAUGUUUUCAUUAA